GCCUACUGCCAUACCACCCUGAAUGCGCCCGAUCUCGUCUGAUCUGGAAGCUAAGCAGGGUCGGGCCUGGUUAGUACUUGGAUGAGAGACCACCUGGAAAUACUGUGUGCUGUAGGCU
This 118-nucleotide ribosomal RNA is filed under the name Cavia aperea (Brazilian guinea pig). The record is from RNAcentral. Lineage: Eukaryota; Metazoa; Chordata; Mammalia; Rodentia; Caviidae.